RNAcentral lists this ribosomal RNA (427 nucleotides) under uncultured bacterium. Its description in RNAcentral is "bacterial SSU rRNA". It matches the Rfam family "Bacterial small subunit ribosomal RNA", at positions 355 to 774 of the family's 1533-position model. The record is from RNAcentral.
UGGGGAAUUUCGGACAAUGGGCGCAAGCCUGAUCCAGCAAUGCCGCGUGCAGGAUGAAGGCCUUCGGGUUGUAAACUGCUUUUGUACGGAACGAAACGGCUCUGUCUAAUACAUGGGGCUAAUGACGGUACCGUAAGAAUAAGCACCGGCUAACUACGUGCCAGCAGCCGCGGUAAUACGUAGGGUGCAAGCGUUAAUCGGAAUUACUUGGCGUAAAGCGUGCGCGGGCGGUCUUGUAAGACAGUCGUGAAAGCCCCGGGCUUAACCUGGGAACUGCGAUUGUGACUGCAAGGCUAGAGUGUGUCAGAGGGGGGUGGAAUUCCACGUGUAGCAGUGAAAGGCGUAGAUAUGCGGAGGAACACCGAUGGCGAAGGCAAUCCCCUGGACCUGUACUGACGCUCAUGCACGAAAGCGUGGGGAGCAAACA